CCUACGGGCGGCAGCAGUGAGGAAUAUUGGUCAAUGGUCGGGAGACUGAACCAGCCAAGCCGCGUGAGGGAGGAAGGUACAGAGUAUCGUAAACCUCUUUUGUCAGGGAACAAAGACUGGGACGCGUCCCCGGAUGAGUGUACCUGAAGAAAGAGCAUCGGCUAACUCCGUGCAAGCAGCCGCGGUAAUACGGAGGAUGCGAGCGUUCUCCGGCUUUAUUGGGUUUAAGGGGUGCGCAGGCGGUCUGUAAAGUCAUCGGUAAAAGCCCGGGGCGCAACCCCGGCCCGCCGUUGAAACUGGCAGUCUCGAGUUGGAGAGAAGUAUGCGGAAGGCGCGGUGUAGCGGUGAAAUGCAUCGAUAUCGCGCAGAACUCCGAUUGCGAAGGCAGCAUGCCGGCUCCACACUGACGCUGAGGCACGAAAGCGUGGGUAUCGAACAGGAUUAGAUACCCGGGUAGUC
Molecule: ribosomal RNA, 459 nt
Filed under: uncultured bacterium
Lineage: Bacteria
Description: partial 16S ribosomal RNA
Rfam family: Bacterial small subunit ribosomal RNA
Source: RNAcentral